AGUGGGGAAUAUUGGACAAUGGGGGCAACCCUGAUCCAGCAAUGCCGCGUGUGUGAAGAAGGCCUUCGGGUUGUAAAGCACUUUUAUCAGGAAAGAAAACCGGUUGGUUAAUACCCGGCCGGGAUGACGGUACCUGAGGAAUAAGCACCGGCUAACUUCGUGCCAGCAGCCGCGGUAAUACGAAGGGUGCAAGCGUUAAUCGGAAUUACUGGGCGUAAAGGGUGCGUAGGCGGCCUGUUAAGUUGGAUGUGAAAGCCCUGGGCUCAACCUGGGAAUGGCAUCCAAGACUGACAGGCUGGAGUGCGGUAGAGGGUGGUGGAAUUCCCGGUGUAGCGGUGAAAUGCGUAGAGAUCGGGAGGAACAUCCGUGGCGAAGGCGGCCACCUGGACCAGCACUGACGCUGAGGCACGAAAGCGUGGGGAGCAAA
Molecule: ribosomal RNA, 427 nt
Filed under: uncultured Pseudofulvimonas sp.
Lineage: Bacteria; Pseudomonadati; Pseudomonadota; Gammaproteobacteria; Lysobacterales; Rhodanobacteraceae
Description: bacterial SSU rRNA
Rfam family: Bacterial small subunit ribosomal RNA
Source: RNAcentral